Molecule: ribosomal RNA, 252 nt
Filed under: uncultured bacterium
Lineage: Bacteria
Description: partial 16S ribosomal RNA
Rfam family: Bacterial small subunit ribosomal RNA
Source: RNAcentral
UACGGGGGGGCAAGCGUUGUUCGGAAUUACUGGGCGUAAAGGGCUCGUAGGCGGCCAACUAAGUCGGAUGUGAAAUCCCCAGGCUUAACCUGGGAACUGCAUCCGAUACUGGAUGGCUUGAAUCCGGGAGAGGGAUGCGGAAUUCCAGGUGUAGCGGCGAAAUGCGUAGAUAUCUGGAGGAACACCGGUGGCGAAGGCGGCAUCCUGGACCGGCAUUGACGCUGAUGAGCGAAAGCCAGGGGAGCAAACGGG